GUGAGGAAUAUUGGUCAAUGGGCGCAAGCCUGAACCAGCCAUGCCGCGUGCAGGAAGACGGUCCUAUGGAUUGUAAACUGCUUUUAUUUGGGAAUAAACUCCGGUACGUGUACCGGCCUGAAGGUACCAAAUGAAUAAGCACCGGCUAACUCCGUGCCAGCAGCCGCGGUAAUACGGAGGGUGCAAGCGUUAUCCGGAAUCAUUGGGUUUAAAGGGUCCGCAGGCGGUCUUAUAAGUCAGUGGUGAAAGCCUACAGCUCAACUGUAGAACUGCCAUUGAUACUGUAGGACUUGAAUUCGAUCGAAGUGGGCGGAAUGUGACAUGUAGCGGUGAAAUGCUUAGAUAUGGCACAGAACACCAAUUGCGAAGGCAGCUCACUAAGGCGAUACUGACGCUGAGGCACGAAAGCGUGGGGAUCGAACAGGAUUAGAUACCCGUGUAGUCC
Molecule: ribosomal RNA, 445 nt
Filed under: uncultured bacterium
Lineage: Bacteria
Description: partial 16S ribosomal RNA
Rfam family: Bacterial small subunit ribosomal RNA
Source: RNAcentral